Molecule: ribosomal RNA, 498 nt
Filed under: uncultured bacterium
Lineage: Bacteria
Description: partial 16S ribosomal RNA
Rfam family: Bacterial small subunit ribosomal RNA
Source: RNAcentral
GAUGAACGCUGGCGGCGUGCCUAAUACAUGCGAGUCGAGCGAACGGACGAGAAGCUUGCUUCUCUGAUGUUAGCGGCGGACGGGUGAGUAACACGUGGAUAACCUACCUAUAAGACUGGGAUAACUUCGGGAAACCGGAGCUAAUACCGGAUAAUAUUUUGAACCGCAUGGUUCAAAAGUGAAAGACGGUCUUGCUGUCACUUAUAGAUGGAUCCGCGCUGCAUUAGCUAGUUGGUAAGGUAACGGCUUACCAAGGCAACGAUGCAUAGCCGACCUGAGAGGGGGGGCCGCCACCACUGAAACGGGGACCGGGUCCGGCCCCCACCGGGGGGCACAAGUGGGGAUUCUCCCGAAUGGGCCGAAGCCCUGACGGAGCAACCCCGCGUGAGUGAUGAAGGUCUUCGGACCUUAAAACUUUGUUAUUGGGGAAAAACAUAUGUGAAAGAAACUGUGCACAUCUUCACGGUCCCUAAUAAGAAACCCCGGCCUAACCCCGUC